GGGUUGUGAGGUUAAGCGACUAAGCGUACACGGUGGAUGCCCUGGCAGUCAGAGGCGAUGAAGGACGUGCUAAUCUGCGAUAAGCGUCGGUAAGGUGAUAUGAACCGUUAUAACCGGCGAUUUCCGAAUGGGGAAACCCAGUGUGUUUCGACACACUAUCAUUAACUGAAUCCAUAGGUUAAUGAGGCGAACCGGGGGAACUGAAACAUCUAAGUACCCCGAGGAAAAGAAAUCAACCGAGAUUCCCCCAGUAGCGGCGAGCGAACGGGGAGCAGCCCAGAGCCUGAAUCAGUGUGUGUGUUAGUGGAAGCGUCUGGAAAGGCGCGCGAUACAGGGUGACAGCCCCGUACACAAAAAUGCACAUGCUGUGAGCUCGAUGAGUAGGGCGGGACACGUGGUAUCCUGUCUGAAUAUGGGGGGACCAUCCUCCAAGGCUAAAUACUCCUGACUGACCGAUAGUGAACCAGUACCGUGAGGGAAAGGCGAAAAGAACCCCGGCGAGGGGAGUGAAAAAGAACCUGAAACCGUGUACGUACAAGCAGUGGGAGCACGCUUAGGCGUGUGACUGCGUACCUUUUGUAUAAUGGGUCAGCGACUUAUAUUCUGUAGCAAGGUUAACCGAAUAGGGGAGCCGAAGGGAAACCGAGUCUUAACUGGGCGUUAAGUUGCAGGGUAUAGACCCGAAACCCGGUGAUCUAGCCAUGGGCAGGUUGAAGGUUGGGUAACACUAACUGGAGGACCGAACCGACUAAUGUUGAAAAAUUAGCGGAUGACUUGUGGCUGGGGGUGAAAGGCCAAUCAAACCGGGAGAUAGCUGGUUCUCCCCGAAAGCUAUUUAGGUAGCGCCUCGUGAAUUCAUCUCCGGGGGUAGAGCACUGUUUCGGCAAGGGGGUCAUCCCGACUUACCAACCCGAUGCAAACUGCGAAUACCGGAGAAUGUUAUCACGGGAGACACACGGCGGGUGCUAACGUCCGUCGUGAAGAGGGAAACAACCCAGACCGCCAGCUAAGGUCCCAAAGUCAUGGUUAAGUGGGAAACGAUGUGGGAAGGCCCAGACAGCCAGGAUGUUGGCUUAGAAGCAGCCAUCAUUUAAAGAAAGCGUAAUAGCUCACUGGUCGAGUCGGCCUGCGCGGAAGAUGUAACGGGGCUAAACCAUGCACCGAAGCUGCGGCAGCGACACUAUGUGUUGUUGGGUAGGGGAGCGU
This 1206-nucleotide ribosomal RNA is filed under the name Escherichia coli. RNAcentral describes it as "partial 23S ribosomal RNA". It matches the Rfam family "Bacterial large subunit ribosomal RNA", at positions 1 to 1239 of the family's 2925-position model. Lineage: Bacteria; Pseudomonadati; Pseudomonadota; Gammaproteobacteria; Enterobacterales; Enterobacteriaceae. The record is from RNAcentral.